GGACUCCUCAGUUCACCAUGAGGCUCCCUGCUCAGCUCCUGGGGCUGCUAAUGCUCUGUGUCCCUGGAUCCAGUGGGGAUGUUGUGAUGACUCAGUCUCCACUCUCCCUGCCCGUCACCCCUGGACAGCCGGCUUCCAUCUCCUGCAGGUCUAGUCAAAGCCUUGUACACAGUAAUGGAAACACCUACUUGAGUUGGUUACAGCAGAAGCCAGGCCAACCUCCAAGGCUCCUAAUUUAUAAGGUUUCUAACCGGGACUCUGGGGUCCCAGACAGAUUCAGCGGCAGUGGGGCAGGGACAGAUUUCACACUGAAAAUCAGCAGAGUGGAGGCUGAGGAUGUUGGCGUUUAUUACUGCGUGCAAGUUACACACUCUCCUCCCACAGUGGUACAGCCCUGA
Mandrillus leucophaeus (drill) is the source of this 398-nucleotide non-coding RNA. The record is from the annotation of a RefSeq genome assembly. Lineage: Eukaryota; Metazoa; Chordata; Mammalia; Primates; Cercopithecidae.